GUCGCCUCAGGGGCGGCCACGGGCGCGACUUCACCGUUCUGGACGGUGACGGUCGGCGCAGGCUGGGUCGGGUCUUGCGAGGCGACGC
Molecule: transfer RNA, 88 nt
Filed under: compost metagenome
Description: tRNA-Gln
Source: RNAcentral